This 198-nucleotide small nuclear RNA is filed under the name Leptobrachium leishanense (Leishan spiny toad). RNAcentral's name for it is "U2 spliceosomal RNA (ENSLLEG00000003948.1)". It matches the Rfam family "U2 spliceosomal RNA". From Rfam's summary of the family: U2 is a small nuclear RNA (snRNA) component of the spliceosome (involved in pre-mRNA splicing). Complementary binding between U2 snRNA (in an area lying towards the 5' end but 3' to hairpin I) and the branchpoint sequence (BPS) of the intron results the bulging out of an unpaired adenosine, on the BPS, which initiates a nucleophilic attack at the intronic 5' splice site, thus starting the first of two transesterification reactions that mediate splicing. Lineage: Eukaryota; Metazoa; Chordata; Amphibia; Anura; Megophryidae. The record is from Rfam by way of RNAcentral.
AGUGCUUCUCGGCCUUUUGGCUAAGAUCAAGUGUAGUAUCUUUGUGUAUUACGCUUGGAUCAGGUCCAGGAAAGAUCCAAAUUAUUUUUUAUUUAAAAAAUAAUUUUGAUCCAGUACAGGACGGGAAACUCAGCGAUCCCUCCUAGGCUUGCUGGGUAAUUUAUGGUCGGCACUGCGCCGCCCUCCAAGUUACUCAGU